GGACGUGUGACCGAGUGGUUAAGGUGAAUGACUUGAACUCAAACGUUCCAGAUCAUUUCUCGAAAGAGGCGGAGGUUCGAACCCUCCCGCGUUCG
Molecule: non-coding RNA, 95 nt
Organism: Dioszegia hungarica
Lineage: Eukaryota; Fungi; Basidiomycota; Tremellomycetes; Tremellales; Bulleribasidiaceae
Source: the annotation of a RefSeq genome assembly